Molecule: ribosomal RNA, 169 nt
Filed under: Pessonella sp. PRA-29
Lineage: Eukaryota; Discosea; Flabellinia; Vannellidae
Description: partial Eukaryotic small subunit ribosomal RNA
Rfam family: Eukaryotic small subunit ribosomal RNA
Source: RNAcentral
CAUUUAAACUGGUUGAACUCUGGAUAAUUUGUUGAUCGCAUGGUCUCGUACCGGCGACGGAUCUUUCAAAUGUCUGCCCUAUCAACUAUUGAAGGUAAUGUCUUGGAUUACCUUGGUUGCAACGGGUAACGGGGAAUCAGGGUUCGAUUCCGGAGAGGGAGCCUGAGAA